CCUACGGGUGGCAGCAGUGAGGAAUAUUGGUCAAUGGACGAGAGUCUGAACCAGCCAAGUAGCGUGAAGGAUGACUGCCCUACGGGUUGUAAACUUCUUUUAUAUGGGAAUAAAACAGGGUAUGUAUACCCCCUUGUAUGUAUCAUAUGAAUAAGGAUAGGCUAACUCCGUGCCAGCAGCCGCGGUAAUACGGAGGAUCCGAGCGUUAUCCGGAUUUAUUGGGUUUAAAGGGAGCGUAGGUGGAUUGUUAAGUCAGUUGUGAAAGUUUGCGGCUCAACCGUAGAAUUGCAGUUGAAACUGGCAGUCUUGAGUACAGUAAGGGAUGGCGGAAUUCGUGGUGUAGCGGUGAAAUGCUUAGAUAUCACGAAGAACUCCGAUUGCGAAGGCAGCUCACUGGACUGCAACUGACGCUGAUGCUCGAAAGUGUGGGUAUCAAACAGGAUUAGAUACCCUUGUAGUC
RNAcentral lists this ribosomal RNA (460 nucleotides) under uncultured bacterium. RNAcentral describes it as "partial 16S ribosomal RNA". It matches the Rfam family "Bacterial small subunit ribosomal RNA", at positions 338 to 795 of the family's 1533-position model. The record is from RNAcentral.